Long non-coding RNA from Trachemys scripta elegans, 2177 nucleotides. RefSeq lists it as uncharacterized. The transcript is spliced from 3 exons. NCBI's taxonomy places the organism in Eukaryota, Metazoa, Chordata, Testudines, Emydidae. The record is from RefSeq and is a predicted model, not a curated record.
ACAAUGGCAGGGGCUGAGCUCACAGUGGAGCCAUGGCCCGUAGCCACCGCUCCUGCUGCCCCCGAGCGGGGCUGACAGCUGCCCGCGGAGCCUUGGGCAGUGGAGGUGGGACCCCGAGACAACGGCCCCCGGAUCAGCUCCGGCUCCUGCCGCUGUCAGAGCCCAGGCCCGCCCGGCAGCCGAUGGAGGCGCUUAAAUCCCCCUGUUCCCAAGGAAUGGCCGUUGUUGCUGCACCUCAUUAGUGCCCCCGUCCCUUCGCUGGCACGGCUGCCUCCCUGCGCAGCGGUUCUGCCUACCCGUGUGACCCUUCUGCCGGGGGGCGGCCACAGCAGCAAGGGUCGAGGUCAAACAGCAACUGGCCCGUUUUAAAACUAAAAAACGCGACGGGCUUGAGCCCCCACCCAGAAUUGUUGGGAUCACACAGUACUUGCCAGCUUCCCCAAAGCACUGAGGUCGUAUAGAAAACAAAUCUUUAUUAAGAGAAAAAGAAAAGUGUAUUGGUGUAAAUGAGUAAGUAAAAUACGCACUGGAGGUAACUUUGGCAGUAGUCUGUGUAACUCAGUUCCACACCCAAGGACGGGAAUGUUCCCUUUACCACACAUUUUUUCCCUGUCCCCAUCUGCUAAACCAUACUCAUCAUUUGGUGUCAGUGAGUAGCAUUAUCCCAUCAUCCGAACAUGCACUGUGGCAUGAUAGUACUCUUCCAGUGCUUUGGGAAAUGCUGCCUCAUCCCAUCCCAAGGCGCCACUAAUUAAAUCAUCUUUCAUCUUUAUUUAGGACAAAACUAUCCUGCUUUGCUGACAAUAAAACCACCCCAACAAGAGGCAUAGAGCAUUUUGUGGCAAAUUUAGAUUGACAAAGUAUCAAUGUAGACACUCGGCUUGGUUAUGUUACCAUAAAUGGCUCCCAGGAGGUGUCCCACAAUGCCCAGCCUGACUGCUCUGGUCAGCAGUUUGAACUCUGCUGCCCUGCAGACAGGCAUCUGCUCCUCCCUCUUUAAAGGACAGGGAAUUUUUGAAAUUCCACUUUGUUUGCUUAGUGUGGACAGCUAACAUUGCAUCUUUACAGCUGACCAUGGCAGCUCCACGCAGCAAAAGCUCUCCCACCUGGAGCACACCAGAGUUGUUCAAUCUGCUGGGUCUGUAGGGAGAGGAGACUGUGCAGUCCCAGCUCCACUCCAGCUGUAGGAACUUUGAUACUUAUGGUCAGAUUUCUUAUGGCAUGAUGGAUAAGGGCUACAAACAGGAUAUCAAUCAGUGCUGUGCGAAGAUCAAGGAGCUGAGGCAGGUGUACCAGAAGGCAGAGGAGUUAAACAAUUGGUCUGGUGCUGUGCCAAAGAGCUGCCGUUUCUAUUAGGACCUGGACACCAUCCAUCCUCGGUGGCAACCCGAUCCUACCUCCAUCGCCAAGAGCCCCAUGAAUACUUCAGCAGGGCUGGAGAUAGCGGCCAGUGGACUCAACCCCAAGGAUGAAGUGGUGGAAGAAGAAGUAGGUUGCAGGAUGAGAUGGGACAGACAACUGGUUCAUCUGGUACUGUGAUUAGCCAGGAUUUCUUCUCAAUGGCAGAGGGUUCAAGCCAGUCCUAGUGCUCUGUCUGUGACGCGCAUGAUGCAGGAAAGGGGACCUCUGCCUGGAGCACAACAGGUAGAGCAAACCAGAAUGAGAUGCUGCCACACCUGAUCCCAGGACCAGUCCUUUAUUAGCCAGUUGUCGAGGUAUGGGUAAAUUUGAACACCAAUGCCUCAGUUGCUCAGAUGGGGAGUCCCCCAGGACCUAGACUGGGGAGGUGGAGGAGGCGGAGGAGAGAACGGCUUCCUAGCCUGCUGAGGGGUAUGAAGGCCCAAGGAGCAGAGCGUGGCCCGAGAGUCUUUAAAGUUGUGGAGCCUUGCACCCAUGAACUCAGAGAAGAACUCUCUUCCCUUAAACGGGAGGUCCUGUAUGAUGGGUGGCAUCUCCUGGGAUAAUCUGGAGGACUGUAGCCAAGAGCUGUGCCUCAUUACCACCACAGAGGCGACAACCCUGGCUGCCGAGUCCGUAGCAUCCCAGACCAUCUGGAGGGCACCUUUCAUUACCGCUUUGCCUUCCUACACUAAAGCGGUGAACUCCUGGGCUCAGUCAGUGGCUUAGCCAGCUUCUAAGAGGAGGAAGAGCAAACAUAAAAAAGGCGCCCCCCCCCC